Molecule: microRNA precursor, 115 nt
Organism: Medicago truncatula (barrel medic)
Lineage: Eukaryota; Viridiplantae; Streptophyta; Magnoliopsida; Fabales; Fabaceae
Rfam family: MIR2593 microRNA precursor family
Source: Rfam
UUAUGAGCAAAAGUCUACUUUUUAGAUUCAUUCAAUAAAUGAUGUAUGUGGUAUAUAUAAUAGACCACAUAUAUCAUUUAUUGAAUAAACCUAAAAGGUUGAUUUUUGCUUAUAA